RNAcentral lists this ribosomal RNA (253 nucleotides) under uncultured bacterium. RNAcentral describes it as "partial 16S ribosomal RNA". It matches the Rfam family "Bacterial small subunit ribosomal RNA", at positions 524 to 776 of the family's 1533-position model. The record is from RNAcentral.
UACGUAGGGUGCAAGCGUUAAUCGGAAUUACUGGGCGUAAAGCGUGCGCAGGCGGUGAUGUAAGACAGUUGUGAAAUCCCCAGGCUUAACCUGGGAACUGCAUUCGAGACUGCAUUGCUAGAGUAUGGGAGAGGGAAGUGGAAUUUCCGGUGUAGCGGUGAAAUGCGUAGAUAUCGGAAGGAACAUCAGUGGCGAAGGCGGCCCUCUGGACCAGCACUGACGCUGAGGCACGAAAGCGUGGGGAGCAAACAGG